RNAcentral lists this ribosomal RNA (252 nucleotides) under uncultured bacterium. Its description in RNAcentral is "partial 16S ribosomal RNA". It matches the Rfam family "Bacterial small subunit ribosomal RNA", at positions 524 to 776 of the family's 1533-position model. The record is from RNAcentral.
UACGAAGGGGGCUAGCGUUGCUCGGAAUCACUGGGCGUAAAGGGUGCGUAGGCGGGUCUUUAAGUCAGGGGUGAAAUCCUGGAGCUCAACUCCAGAACUGCCUUUGAUACUGAAGAUCUUGAGUUCGGGAGAGGUGAGUGGAACUGCGAGUGUAGAGGUGAAAUUCGUAGAUAUUCGCAAGAACACCAGUGGCGAAGGCGGCUCUCUGGGACGGUACUGACGCUGAGACGCGAAAGCGUGGGAGCGAACAGG